Molecule: long non-coding RNA, 317 nt
Filed under: Capsicum annuum
Lineage: Eukaryota; Viridiplantae; Streptophyta; Magnoliopsida; Solanales; Solanaceae
Description: long non-coding RNA (CANN_LNC010329)
Source: RNAcentral
GUCGUACUAUAGCCUAUACACUUUAAGAGCCCUGUCCAUAUACUUGUAUAAUAAGGACAAUCAAAGAAAAUAUGGUCAGGAGUUUCCAUUUUUCUCCCCUUGCACAAUGCACAGUCUAUAGUCACUAUUUUCCCCAUUACAGUAAUCUGUCAACAGUAGUUAACCUGCUAUGCAAAUCUAGCCAUAAAAUGAAUCUCUACAUGGGAAGUUGACUUUGAAUUAACAUUAGUCUACUCCAUUCAACCUUGGGGUGCUGAGGAAUCAUUCCCAAGUAAAAUUUCUUAAUAUUGUAUCCUAUAAGUCCACAGUAUGUUUGC